Molecule: unclassified non-coding RNA, 378 nt
Filed under: uncultured Gemmatimonadaceae bacterium
Lineage: Bacteria; Pseudomonadati; Gemmatimonadota; Gemmatimonadia; Gemmatimonadales; Gemmatimonadaceae
Description: contains 16S-23S intergenic spacer region
Source: RNAcentral
UCCGGUUUGUCACCGGCAGUCUCCUUAGAGUGCCCAACUGAAUGCUGGCAACUAAGGACAAGGGUUGCGCUCGUUGCGGGACUUAACCCAACAUCUCACGACACGAGCUGACGACAACCAUGCAGCACCUGUGCACGGGCUCCGAAGAGGGCCGGCCGUUUCUGACCGGUUUCCCGUGUAUGUCAAGCCUAGGUAAGGUUCUUCGCGUUGCGUCGAAUUAAACCACAUGCUCCACCGCUUGUGCGGGCCCCCGUCAAUUCCUUUGAGUUUCAGCCUUGCGGCCGUACUCCCCAGGCGGGGCACUUAAUGCGUUAGCGCCGGCACUCGGAGGGUCGCUCCCCCAAGCACCUAGUGCCCAUCGUUUACGGCGUGGACUAC